Molecule: long non-coding RNA, 309 nt
Organism: Aedes aegypti (yellow fever mosquito)
Lineage: Eukaryota; Metazoa; Arthropoda; Insecta; Diptera; Culicidae
Exons: 2
Source: RefSeq, a predicted model, not a curated record
UUGUUAGCCCAAGUGUCAGAACACGCGAUUGUUUGUUUUUUUUUCGACUGGCUCAGGAAUGUUUGUUGUUUCAUUCUGAACACUAAGUUCCUCCGAAGUAGUUUUUUCCUCAACGUGCCUGGAAAUGCAACCAACCGGAUUGACCCGCAGUAAAGACCCGCAGGACGGCGAUUGCGAAAGAUGCCUUCCGGAAGCCUCUUCGGCGCUGCAAAAAGGGACGGUGUACCUGUCGGAACCAGAUUGGUACCUGUCUGACCCGCUGGAACCAGAGUAUGGAACUAGCGAAAAAUAAAAAAAAAUAAACUCCCA